RNAcentral lists this ribosomal RNA (371 nucleotides) under uncultured bacterium. RNAcentral's name for it is "partial 16S ribosomal RNA". It matches the Rfam family "Bacterial small subunit ribosomal RNA", at positions 338 to 726 of the family's 1533-position model. The record is from RNAcentral.
CCUACGGGAGGCAGCAGUAGGGAAUAUUGCUCAAUGGGGGAAACCCUGAAGCAGCAACGCCGCGUGGAGGAUGAAGGUUUUAGGAUUGUAAACUUCUUUUGUGAGGGAAGAUAAUGACGGUAUCUCACGAAUAAGCACCGGCUAACUCCGUGCCAGCAGCCGCGGUAAUACGUAGGGGGCAAGCGUUACUCGGAAUUACUGGGCGUAAAGGGUGCGUAGGCGGGCUUGUAAGUCAGAUGUGAAAUCCUGUAGCUUAACUACAGAACUGCAUUUGAAACUAGGGGUCUAGAGUGUGGGGGGGGUAGGUGGAAUUCAUGGGGGAGGGGUAAAAUCCGUAGAUAACAAGAAGAAUACUCAGUGCGAAGGCGAGC